RNAcentral lists this long non-coding RNA (269 nucleotides) under Gossypium raimondii (Peruvian cotton). RNAcentral's name for it is "long non-coding RNA (GRAI_LNC001307)". The record is from RNAcentral. Lineage: Eukaryota; Viridiplantae; Streptophyta; Magnoliopsida; Malvales; Malvaceae.
AACGACAUACAAAUACGAGAGAAGGAAUAGAAUUACCUGCCGAAACCACACCAACGUAAUACUUGUUGCAAGAAGGGAACGAUAAUUACAAUAAAACAAAAAAAGAAAAAGAAAAGGUAGGAUUCAAGGAGAAUUUUGACAAAAGUGAAAGAAAAAGAAAAACAAAUCCGAAGAGGAAGAACAGAGGAUUUCGGCAAUAUGCAAGAUGAAACUGAAAAAAAAUCAGAAUUUUGGAAUUGGGGAGAGAAAAACAAAUUUUAGUCCACCAC